This 995-nucleotide ribosomal RNA is filed under the name Escherichia coli. Its description in RNAcentral is "partial 23S ribosomal RNA". It matches the Rfam family "Bacterial large subunit ribosomal RNA", at positions 1936 to 2925 of the family's 2925-position model. Lineage: Bacteria; Pseudomonadati; Pseudomonadota; Gammaproteobacteria; Enterobacterales; Enterobacteriaceae. The record is from RNAcentral.
GUAACUAUAACGGUCCUAAGGUAGCGAAAUUCCUUGUCGGGUAAGUUCCGACCUGCACGAAUGGCGUAAUGAUGGCCAGGCUGUCUCCACCCGAGACUCAGUGAAAUUGAACUCGCUGUGAAGAUGCAGUGUACCCGCGGCAAGACGGAAAGACCCCGUGAACCUUUACUAUAGCUUGACACUGAACAUUGAGCCUUGAUGUGUAGGAUAGGUGGGAGGCUUUGAAGUGUGGACGCCAGUCUGCAUGGAGCCGACCUUGAAAUACCACCCUUUAAUGUUUGAUGUUCUAACGUUGACCCGUAAUCCGGGUUGCGGACAGUGUCUGGUGGGUAGUUUGACUGGGGCGGUCUCCUCCUAAAGAGUAACGGAGGAGCACGAAGGUUGGCUAAUCCUGGUCGGACAUCAGGAGGUUAGUGCAAUGGCAUAAGCCAGCUUGACUGCGAGCGUGACGGCGCGAGCAGGUGCGAAAGCAGGUCAUAGUGAUCCGGUGGUUCUGAAUGGAAGGGCCAUCGCUCAACGGAUAAAAGGUACUCCGGGGAUAACAGGCUGAUACCGCCCAAGAGUUCAUAUCGACGGCGGUGUUUGGCACCUCGAUGUCGGCUCAUCACAUCCUGGGGCUGAAGUAGGUCCCAAGGGUAUGGCUGUUCGCCAUUUAAAGUGGUACGCGAGCUGGGUUUAGAACGUCGUGAGACAGUUCGGUCCCUAUCUGCCGUGGGCGCUGGAGAACUGAGGGGGGCUGCUCCUAGUACGAGAGGACCGGAGUGGACGCAUCACUGGUGUUCGGGUUGUCAUGCCAAUGGCACUGCCCGGUAGCUAAAUGCGGAAGAGAUAAGUGCUGAAAGCAUCUAAGCACGAAACUUGCCCCGAGAUGAGUUCUCCCUGACUCCUUGAGAGUCCUGAAGGAACGUUGAAGACGACGACGUUGAUAGGCCGGGUGUGUAAGCGCAGCGAUGCGUUGAGCUAACCGGUACUAAUGAACCGUGAGGCUUAACCUU